CAAUAGCGUAUAUUAAAGUUGUUGCAGUUAAAAAGCUCGUAGUUGGACUUCAGGCUCGGCUGACCUGUCUCGCGCAAGCGUGUACGGGUGCAGCUGCAGUCUUCCUGUUGCGCGUGGCUACGGCCCUUCACUGGGCGCGUGGUCGCCAAGCGCGCAGCACGUUUACUUUGAAGAAAUUAGAGUGUUCAAAGCAGGCUUUACGCCUUGAAUACAUUAGCAUGGAAUAAUGGAAUAGGACUUCCGUCUUAUUUUGUUGGUUUCUCUGUGCGGGAGUAAUGAUUAAUAGGGACAGUUGGGGGCAUUCAUAUUCAGAUGUCAGAGGUGAAAUUCUUGGAUUUUCUGAAGAUGAACUACUGCGAAAGCAUUUGCCAAGGAUGUUUUCAUUAA
Molecule: ribosomal RNA, 387 nt
Filed under: uncultured eukaryote
Lineage: Eukaryota
Description: partial 18S ribosomal RNA
Rfam family: Eukaryotic small subunit ribosomal RNA
Source: RNAcentral